Molecule: RNA transcript, 1249 nt
Organism: Gallus gallus (chicken)
Lineage: Eukaryota; Metazoa; Chordata; Aves; Galliformes; Phasianidae
Gene name: borealin
Exons: 10
Source: RefSeq, a predicted model, not a curated record
GGGCGGUGCUGUGGCGCCGUGCGGGAGCAGGAGCGGGGCUCGGUGCGCUCGCGCCGUUCCUCGGCCCUCAUGGCUCCUGCCCGCAGGAAGGCGGCCGCGGGCGCGCGCGGCAGGAAGCUGAGCGCCUUCCUGAAGGACUUCGACCGGGAGGUGAGGAGCCGGGUCGAGCAGCUGCGGACGAACGGGGAGCGCCUGGUCAAGGAGAUGGAGAACCUGUACGACGUGGAGCUCCUCCGGCUGCCCGCGGCGCUCCGCGAGAUGAACUGGCUGGAGUUCUUCGCUAAAGGGGGAAGCCAGAAAGUCGUGGAGGAGGCGGUGACGGCAGACUUGGGAAUAACAGAAAUAAACAAGCUAACAGCAGAACUUAUCCAGACUCCUUUAAAAAUCGUCACAAAAGAAAAAUCUAAACAGGGUAUUGAAGCUACUGAAGAAGCAGCAGAGGUUCCUUUGCUUCCUCCAGCAAAGAAAGCGAAACACGAUAGCCAGCUUCUGCUGGAGCAAGCAGCUGCAAGUACUAAUCCAAGAAACGGAAAGGUGAGGACGUCCACUAAGAAAGCACCAGUGUCCAGGAGCAGAAGAGCUCCUUCAGCAAGAGUGAAACGCGUGAGUAAAAGAUCAAGCAAAAGCAGCUUUAUCACUCCAGCUACCGGCAGAAAUCUUGAUCUCUGUGCUCGAGGAGGCGCCUCCAUCGUCACGCCCAGGUUUGAUUCGAGAGUUUUCAAGACGCCGGGUUUGCGCACACCCGCAGUAAAUGAACGUGUUUACACCAUCUCUGCUAACGGCAGCCCCCUUGCUGAUGGCAAUGAUGUCUUCAUUACCGUUCCUGUUGGAGGAGGGGAGGUAAAAUCAAACUUGAGCCUGUAAAAUCCGUGCAGCAAGGGGAGCCUGUACCUUCGUGGGGGCCUAAUCAGUUUCAAGGGACUCCUGUACGUUCGUUCUCGCCCGCUUACUUGUGCCACCGCAGUUUAUCGGGAGAGCAUUCGUUUAACAGCAAGUGAUCUGACCAAGAAGAAUCUUCUUCAUCUCAAUCCGGAGGCACGAGGCAUUAUGAAGAAGCUAUCUGUUCGUCUUGCACAAGCUUGUAGCAGUGCAAAAACCCAUAGGUGAAGGGCAGUGAAUGUCAACACCUUUUGUAAACGUGGAACUACUCCUAUAAGCUACGAGUACAUUUUAUUUGGUGUCUUACAAUUCUGUGAGCAUUCAUUUAAACGAAAUGAAAUUAAAAAAAAUAAAAAAAUAAAGAAAACCA